GGGUUGAUUGGAUUAAGUAAAUUAUUAUAUAAUUUUUAAAUGGUUAAGCAUUAGAGAUGUUUUGUAGAAUAUAACAGUAUUGAAAAGGCAUGGACAUUUAGAUAUUCGGUUUGGGUUGGACCUGAUUGGAUACGGAUCUAUCGAGUAAAUGAAUUUUAUAUCCAAUAGAUAUUAAGUAAUUUCAGGUUUGAGUUUUGUGUAGGAUACAACCAGUUCCAGUUCAGUUCCGAG
This 231-nucleotide long non-coding RNA is filed under the name Brassica napus (rape). Its description in RNAcentral is "long non-coding RNA (BNAP_LNC024859)". The record is from RNAcentral. Lineage: Eukaryota; Viridiplantae; Streptophyta; Magnoliopsida; Brassicales; Brassicaceae.